UGUGAGUUAUCUUUUCAGCAUUGUGCCUCAGAUCCCACCAGUGUUUGAGGGUUUUGCUGGAUCUGUUUGGAGACAGUGUCACUUUGGCAGUCAUCCACGUCUUCUGGUUUCCACAGAACAUAAGAAAGUGGAUCUAAUAGAUGUUAUGGACACCAACAACUUGAAAGAAACAAACUUGUUCCAGUUACCAAGCAAACACCUGACUCAAUGUGAAGACAUCUUGGUUACUAAGCAGCAUCCUAGCAACUACUUUUGGCACUUUGUGGCCACUCAUCACCAACUGUUUAUGUUUGAUGAGAGACUCCCACAGACACCUGUGUUGGAAUGGAACCAUCUUCUAAAGAUGCCUCCAAUC
Long non-coding RNA from Anneissia japonica, 355 nucleotides. RefSeq lists it as uncharacterized. NCBI's taxonomy places the organism in Eukaryota, Metazoa, Echinodermata, Crinoidea, Comatulida, Comatulidae. The transcript is spliced from 3 exons. The record is from RefSeq and is a predicted model, not a curated record.